AUUUAGAUAAAAAUAUUGAAUAUUUUAUUUAUUGAAUAUUUAUUUAUUGAAUACAUGCAUAUGAGAUGCGAUUGGGCCAGCAGCACCGCCUAUGCUUUGGUUGAUUGGAUAGUUUCUGACUCACAGCCAAUCAGCUUGCUUGCUUUGGAGUUCACGCAGCUUAACCUUUUCGCUAGUUCUGGAAACCUGUUGCUCUUCAGACGCGUUUCUAAUCCCGAGAAACUUCCAAAGAACUUUCGAUAGAACUAAUGAAAGGAUAAGGUGUUUGUUCUGUAAUCUGUUUUAAGACCACCUCAACUCUCAUACACACCUUGGAUCGGCAAACAUCCCACCUUGAGGAUGUAAGAAGAUAUUUUAGAGGUGUCUUCUCUUUAUCACCACCCGAUGGUGAGUAUGCAAACCUACAAGACACUGUCUGCUGCAUCAUGUUCUCACUACAGCAUUAAAACAUACAGCCAUAUACUCUCAAAAAAGUUAUAAAUAAAUCUUAGAAUAAUGAAAGGAAUCCAGAGGUUUUUUUUCCAGCUUCAUAAUCCAAGCGUUUCUUUCCAGGUGCAUCUCGAAGGAUGCUGCUUACCUGUUCUCUUUAUCACCACCCAACGGACAGAUUUGAAUCGAUGGCAGACGGGCCCUCUAAACCCACUCCAACUUCUGUCUUUCUCUCAGCCCACUUGGGAUCUGCAGUGUAAUACACCGCAGACUAAAUCCGGUGAUACUCCUGCAGUAUUUGAAGCAUGGGUGGCUGCAUAAUGAGCAGGCAGGCAGAGGGCUUGUGCAGAGAGGAGACCAGAGAGGCAGUAAAAGUCAUACAUGUAUUUACAAAUAUAUG
This is a long non-coding RNA of Cyprinus carpio (common carp), 829 nucleotides long. NCBI's taxonomy places the organism in Eukaryota, Metazoa, Chordata, Actinopteri, Cypriniformes, Cyprinidae. The record is from Ensembl.